RNAcentral lists this ribosomal RNA (283 nucleotides) under uncultured prokaryote. Its description in RNAcentral is "partial 16S ribosomal RNA". It matches the Rfam family "Bacterial small subunit ribosomal RNA", at positions 524 to 817 of the family's 1533-position model. The record is from RNAcentral.
UACGUAGGGGCAAGCGUUAUCCGGAUUUACUGGGUGUAAAGGGAGAGUAGACGGUAUGGUAAGUCAGAUGUGAAAGCCCGGGGCUCAACCCCGGGACUGCAUUUGAAACUAUCAAACUGGAGUGCAGGAGAGGUAAGUGGAAUUCCUAGUGUAGCGGUGAAAUGCGUAGAUAUUAGGAGGAACACCAGUGGCGAAGGCGGCUUACUGGACUGUAACUGACGUUGAGGCUCGAAAGCGUGGGGAGCAAACAGGAUUAGAUACCCGGGUAGUCCCUGAGCGGGCU